This 34-nucleotide transfer RNA is filed under the name Telmatoblechnum indicum. RNAcentral describes it as "partial tRNA-Phe". The record is from RNAcentral. Lineage: Eukaryota; Viridiplantae; Streptophyta; Polypodiopsida; Polypodiales; Blechnaceae.
GCCGAGAUAGCUCAGUCGGUAGAGCAGAGGACUG